This 253-nucleotide ribosomal RNA is filed under the name uncultured bacterium. RNAcentral's name for it is "partial 16S ribosomal RNA". It matches the Rfam family "Bacterial small subunit ribosomal RNA", at positions 524 to 776 of the family's 1533-position model. The record is from RNAcentral.
UACAGAGGGGGCAAGCGUUAUUCGGAAUUAUUGGGCGUAAAGGGCGCGUAGGCGGCCUGGCAAGUGGAAGGUGAAAUCCCUCGGCUUAACCGAGGAACUGCCCUCCAAACUGCUUGGCUUGAGUCCGGGAGAGGUGAGUGGAAUUCCCAGUGUAGCGGUGAAAUGCGUAGAUAUUGGGAGGAACACCAGUGGCGAAGGCGGCUCACUGGACCGGAACUGACGCUGAUGCGCGACAGCAUGGGGAGCAAACAGG